Small nuclear RNA from Pteronotus mesoamericanus, 121 nucleotides. The record is from RefSeq and is a predicted model, not a curated record. Lineage: Eukaryota; Metazoa; Chordata; Mammalia; Chiroptera; Mormoopidae.
GUCUUGCAUGAGAGGAGAGGUUAGCACUCCUUGACAAGGAUGGAAGAGGAUCUUGGGCCUAACAACAUGCAUGCAGUUAAGGCAUUGCCACCUACUUUGUGGCAUCUAACCAUCAUUUUUC